GUUUUGUUUAACUAUGGCAAUAAGAAGUUUUAUCGCGCCCCCGUUGCAUAAAGUUAUUGUAUGUUGAUUGUUUGGUGAUUUAGAUAAACACCAUUUCAUUAGCAACUAGUUUUUUAGUAGAACUAACGUUUUCUAAGGGGGUUGCUUUAGUUUGAAGGGGAUAGGACACAGUGCCAGCAUCUGCGGUUA
This 189-nucleotide ribosomal RNA is filed under the name Litobothrium nickoli. Its description in RNAcentral is "partial 12S ribosomal RNA". The record is from RNAcentral. Lineage: Eukaryota; Metazoa; Platyhelminthes; Cestoda; Litobothriidea; Litobothriidae.